This 1153-nucleotide long non-coding RNA is filed under the name Anolis carolinensis (green anole). Its description in RNAcentral is "lncRNA (ENSACAG00000043758.1)". Lineage: Eukaryota; Metazoa; Chordata; Lepidosauria; Squamata; Anolidae. The record is from RNAcentral.
AUCUAUGAAUUAGUCUCCUGUUUUUAACACUGUAUCCUGCUUGUUGAUUUUAAUGAUUGUUUUUAUUGAUGUUGAUGUUUUUUACUGGGAUAAUUGCUUUGUUACUGUUAUUUGUUUGUUUUAUCGGGCCAGGCUCCAUGUAAGCUGCCUCGGGUCUCAUGUCAAAUAAAUAAAUGUCAAUUUUCUAACAGAUAUUAAUUAUAAAUUUGUCCUUGCUAUUUAAAGAAUACAGCCAAGAUGUAUGUAGUAUUCGCCAACUAUUAUCCCUUGCCAUGAAUAAUUUUUCCUUGCCUCCCAGAUAGACCCAGGCACUCUUUAGUCUUCUAAGUAAGAGAUGACAUCUGAAGAUCAUGCGAUAAUACUAUGUAACAAAAUUUGAAAAAAUGUUGUUUCUGGUUUUCCUGUGUAAUUGUGAAGUAAUUAAGUACUUACUUUGAAAGUAGUUGUUAUACUCCAGAAACUUUGUUGUUGUGGCUACCACAAUCUAUCUUGAAUUAAUUGAGACUCUAUGAGAUAUUCAUAGAAAAACUAUAGCAAAAUGUGCUGCAGAAUGUUCUGCAAAAACAAAGCUUUUGCAGUUCAAUAAACUUUUUCCAUGUUUUUUUGAUAGGCCCAUUUAGAAAAUGACAUUUAUAACUCAGGAACAAAAAUCAUGUUAAAUGGUGUAAUUCAUAAUCCACUUGCUUUCUGAUUAAUUCACUUUAGAAAAGUGAAAAAUGUAAUAGUUCUGAGAAUACUCAUUAAUUUCAUUUCUAGUUAAGGAGAAGCCAGUAAAGCUCCUCCUUCCUUCUCCCUGGGAAAGCCAUGGUAGUUAAAGUGGUGUCAAACUGCAUUAAUUCUUUUUUAUAACUAAUUUUUAUUCAAAGAAACAAACCUAUAAUCAAACAAAGACAUAUACAGAAAGACAGAUUACACCAAAAUCUUUUCAUUUUACAAAAAUAAAAAAUCUUACUAUAAAACACUAACCUAAAACAACUAACAAACUCUGUCUAAAACAAUUAUCCUAACCACUACAACCCACACCACCCUCCUAAACACAUCCUAUACAUAAAAUAAUAAAAACUAAUUUAUGAAUCUUGCACUCUCUGGCUGUUGGGUUUAAUUUCUCAAUUUACUAUUCCUUUGAAAUGUCCCUCUGUAACUACCCUUAUAC